This 373-nucleotide ribosomal RNA is filed under the name uncultured organism. RNAcentral's name for it is "partial 16S ribosomal RNA". It matches the Rfam family "Bacterial small subunit ribosomal RNA", at positions 527 to 896 of the family's 1533-position model. The record is from RNAcentral.
GUAGGUGGCAAGCGUUGUCCGGAAUUAUUGGGCGUAAAGCGCGCGCAGGCGGUUCUUUAAGUCUGAUGUGAAAGCCCACGGCUCUACCGUGGAGGGUCAUUGGAAACUGGAGAACUUGAGUACAGAAGAGGAAAGCGGAAUUCCACGUGUAGCGGUGAAAUGCGUAGAGAUGUGGAGGAACACCAGUGGCGAAGGCGGCUUUUCUGGUCUGUAACUGACGCUGAGGCGCGAAAGCGUGGGGAGCAAACAGGGAUUAGAUACCCUGGUAGUCCACGCCGUAAACGAUGAGUGCUAAGUGUUAGGGGGUUUCCGCCCCCUUAGUGCUGCAGCUAACGCAUUAAGCACUCCGCCUGGGGAUACGGCCGCAAGGCUG